This 440-nucleotide ribosomal RNA is filed under the name uncultured bacterium. RNAcentral describes it as "partial 16S ribosomal RNA". It matches the Rfam family "Bacterial small subunit ribosomal RNA", at positions 338 to 795 of the family's 1533-position model. The record is from RNAcentral.
CCUACGGGUGGCAGCAGUGGGGAAUAUUGCACAAUGGGGGAAACCCUGAUGCAGCGACGCCGCGUGAGUGAAGAAGUAUCUCGGUACGUAAAGCUCUAUCAGCAGGGAAGAAAAUGACGGUACCUGACUAAGAAGCCCCGGCUAACUACGUGCCAGCAGCCGCGGUAAUACGUAGGGGGCAAGCGUUAUCCGGAUUUACUGGGUGUAAAGGGAGCGUAGACGGCAGCACAAGUCUGGAGUGAAAUGCCGCAGAUUAACUGCGGAACUGCUUUGGAAACUGGCGAACUAGAGUGCGGGAGGGGUAAGCGGAAUUCCUAGUGUAGCGGUGAAAUGCGUAGAUAUUAGGAGGAACACCGGUGGCGAAGGCGGCUUACUGGACCGUAACUGACGUUGAGGCUCGAAAGCGUGGGGAGCAAACAGGAUUAGAUACCCGAGUAGUC